This 187-nucleotide unclassified non-coding RNA is filed under the name Glomeromycetes sp. RNAcentral describes it as "partial internal transcribed spacer 2". The stretch from base 1 to 71 matches the Rfam family "5.8S ribosomal RNA", at positions 84 to 154 of the family's 154-position model. Lineage: Eukaryota; Fungi; Glomeromycota; Glomeromycetes. The record is from RNAcentral.
GUGAAUCAUCGAAUUUUUGAACGCAAAUUGCGCUUCCUGGGAUCCCGGGGAGUAUUCGUGUGUGAGGGUCAGUAUUAACAAAAAAUCGGCUUGGUUGCAAAUUGUGACGUUUCCGGUGUUUGGGAUUAUCUUAACUUUUUUGGUUAAGGGGCUUAAAAUUGACCUUUUUUGUGAGUUUUUAGACGAA